GCCGCCGUAGUAUAGCCCGGCCAAGUAUGCGGGCCUCUCGAGCCCGUGUCCACAGGGCCAAUACAAGAAGGCCCGUGCGCGGGAGACCCGGGUUCAAAUCCCGGCGGCGGCA
This 112-nucleotide transfer RNA is filed under the name Staphylothermus marinus F1. It matches the Rfam family "tRNA". Rfam says of the family: Transfer RNA (tRNA) molecules are approximately 80 nucleotides in length. Their secondary structure includes four short double-helical elements and three loops (D, anti-codon, and T loops). Lineage: Archaea; Thermoproteati; Thermoproteota; Thermoprotei; Desulfurococcales; Desulfurococcaceae. The record is from Rfam by way of RNAcentral.